RNAcentral lists this long non-coding RNA (2905 nucleotides) under Gallus gallus (chicken). The record is from RNAcentral. Lineage: Eukaryota; Metazoa; Chordata; Aves; Galliformes; Phasianidae.
GGGUGCCUGGCUGGGGGCUGCAGAGCGCCUGGCUCAGGUGUCUGCCUGUGGGAUGCUGCUGUGCUGGGAACUGUGCUGCAAAAACACCCUUUGGUGGAGGUUGAAUGUAGAUCCAGAGGGUUAAUUAUAAGCGCUCGCAUUUCUGAUGUGUUCUGUAGGUGCAGAGUUGUGUAAUUGGAGGGAAAAUUACAGUGCAAGCCGUGCACUGUAUUAAUUUACAACUAGUUAACAACAACUAAGGGCAGUUUGAAAACAGUUGUAUAGGCGAGCAGACAGCAGCUCGAGCAUGCAGGUAGAUGCAUCAGGUUCCCCUUUUUAACCAAGUAGAAACCAGGAAAAAUGGUUUUUUGUUGGUUUAUUUAUUUAUUCAUUUAUUUGAGAUGGUAUUAGGAAGCUUUUCUCCACUCUUUAGAAACAAAUCCCUUCAGACAAAGGAGAAGAAGCACCAGGCACAUGUAGGCAAUUUCUGGUGCCUCAGACCUCGCAAGAGGGGCUCCUCAGGGCCUCCUUCCAGGCUUUGCAUGGCCCACGCUGGAAUUAAGCCUUUAUAAGUUUUCUUUCAACAAACCUACAGCGGGGCUUACUCAUGCAGUUUGCUGUUUCUGAAUGAAGUCACGCAUACCACGUUCAUGUUUGUGUUAAAAUACUGGAAAGCGUUUCCCUUUUCCUUAUAGGAAAACUGCAUACAUGACCUGCAGUACAGCUAUUUCCAACGCUCGGCUCCUCGGGAAGAGGAGCUGUGCCAACUCUGCCCAGCAGCACAGAGCACAGCCUCCUUGAUUUCAGCGCAUCCGAGAUCCUCUCCUCGGGGAUCAGGUGUCCAUAACUCCACGGCUGCAGUUCAUUCUCUUGAGCCUCCGAUACCUGCAAAAGCUGCUUUUAUGUUUCCUUAGGACAAAAUGAAGGCAGGAUCCAAAAAAAAGACUCCGAGGUCGAAAAAAAACACUCACUGCCAUAUGUUUGUGCUGUUGGCAUCACCGCAGUGAUCCAGGUGCUCGUGUGCUGAGAACCUCUGCACUGCCUGCGCUGACAUCCUGGAUUGCUGCAGAGACACAGGUACAGGUGGGAUCAGUGACACCAGUGCUGCAGUCUGUGUGCAGUGAGGCACAGCUCCCAGCCCUGCUGGCACUGCUCACCGCUCGCCAAUAGCACAGGAGGUGAUCUGAAAACUGAGAACGUUUAGGGCUACUAAACCUCACCCUGUGACCCUGUGUGUUGUGAACGACCUCACUGGUUUCUUUUUACUCACGUCCUAGCGGAGGCAUGGGAUCUGUUUCCCUCAGUACUGUUUUGUUUCAGUUUUUUUCCCUUAAAUGGCCACAGCCUUGUUACUGCUGAGCCUCAGAAGACAAUCAUGCCUGCAGUAUUUUCAUCCUGUCAGCUGGUGCUGGAUUUCAAAACAGGAUGCCCACUUUUCCCCCCAUUAUUCACAGCAGUGAGAUGCAGAAUCCUGAGCUUUUGUUUUCAGUUGGUUACACGGGUCCAACCUGUGAUUCACUCUUCCUGCAGCCACGUUUCCAGGAAAAGACAAUGCCGUGGCUCCUCUCCAAGUCACCCGCAGGCUGCCGGAGGCUCAGGCAGGAGAGCGCUCCUGUGCCUGCAGCCGGGACACUUUCUAAGAAGGGCUGAAGGGACGAGGCCUCAGGCCAGGGCUGCCGUUAUCUCCCAGCAAACAACCAAGGAGGCACACGGCCUUGGGAAAGCACAUGAGGCACAGAGUCAAGGUGCAGAUAAGAGCAGAAUGUACAGGAUUUAAAAUUCUCGCCCCUGUGAAGCACAACAAGCAUCUGCAAAGAGCUGGUCUCUGCUCCUGGCACUGAGGCUGGCUGCCAAGCUGAUGGCUUAAGGACCUGCACUGUCCUUCCAGACAUUCAGGGAGACUCCUGGCUGCUCCAUGCCGUUGGUGUGGGCUAUAAUGCCUACAGAUAUUGGAGGUUCCCAAGAGUUGUUCAGACAGCAGCUGGUAGUGAUGGCUUCUGGCUCCGCAAUCAGGGAUAAAGCUUCUCAUGGCUCUGUAUGGUGGAGCCUGGGCUGGAGAGCUGUGUGGCUGUGCGCUCCAGCACUUGGCUUCUGCAGGAGUCAAACACAAAUGCAAGUGGAUCUGCUGGCACGGAACCGCUGUGGGGAAGGCCUGGGCUGGGCAGCUCUCGUCUGCAAACAGUGCCAGCAGGCAGCGACUCAUGUGUGGGGCAAACAGGCCAAGUGCAGAGCAGAACCACCCGGAGCAGAACUGGGUGGGCUCCAGUAAGCGGCCCUUUGGGCUCCCCGUGUGUGCAGCAAGAGGGAAUCCGGUGCUUUGUGUUUUCAGAAUAAACCACUGCUCCAUCCCCACGUUUGGGGAAUACGGGUUGCCGCUGUCACCGUGAUCUGCCUUCAUCCUGGAGCCCUGCCCGGCCCUGGGGCUGCUGGAAGCUCUCCUGGCGGCUACAGCCGCUCCCCCAGAGGGCUCCUGUUUGGGUUCGUUUCCCAGCUUGUGGAAGGUCCAAAGGUGAUCUCUGGGAACAGAGCUGAAGGCCUGUGGAGCGGCCCGCGUGCUGACGGUGAGCACGCAGCUCAGGAGGGCCCCUGCGCGGUGUUAACACCAGCCAGGGUGUCAGUCCCAGCCAGAACCCUGGGCUGCUGCUUUGCGCGUUCUUUUUAGGUCACAUUUUCUCCGUGAACACAAACGGAAGGGAAUUACUUUCUGUCCUCACAAAGCGAGGUUCGCGUUUGGAAGGCCCAACCAACUCCACGCAGAACAUCCCGAGGCCGCUGCGCUCGCCCUCAGCCCGGCGUGCAGCGGGAGGGCCGCACCCCCAGCACAGCGAUGGGCGUUGGUGCGAUGGGAACCGCUGACUCACGGGGGUAAAUCAAGCGAGAUGGCAGAAGGGUGGCACAGGAAAAGGAUGGGACCGGCGGUAAAUCA